This 297-nucleotide long non-coding RNA is filed under the name Prunus dulcis (almond). RNAcentral describes it as "sRNA ncRNA". Lineage: Eukaryota; Viridiplantae; Streptophyta; Magnoliopsida; Rosales; Rosaceae. The record is from RNAcentral.
AUGGGUGGUCCGAUUGUGUUGACCCAGCUGGCUACGGGUCUCGGCGUAUUGGCCGGGGCAGUCCUCGUCAAAUCGGUCAUGGACCAGAAGCCCAUGGCCGGCCCGUUUCCCAGGUGCCCCAGUUGCAAUGGCACGGGUCGGGUCUCCUGCUUCUGCUCGCGCUGGUCCGAUGGCGAUGUCGGGUGCCGGAGCUGUGCCGGGUCGGGUCGCACGUUCUGCAGAAGCUGUGGUGGUUCUGGUACUGGUCGACCCCUUCCGGUUCAAAUCUCCGUACGGCCUCCCACCCCUCCCUCGUAG